UUUUCAGCUUUAGAUUGAGGUCAGAGGCUGUCACGAAACUUUAGAUUCUGUGAUUGGUCCUAUGCAUCAAAUACAUGUUGGUCCAGUUUAUAAACAAAUAAAAACAUAAUUUUUAAAUUAAUGUCAACUUUGAAUUUGGGAUGUAUCCCAGACAUAUUAGUUGCCCUUACUUAUUUUUGGAAAUGUUUCUCUCAGCCGUCAGUGAAGCAAU
This is an unclassified non-coding RNA of Carlito syrichta (Philippine tarsier), 211 nucleotides long. Lineage: Eukaryota; Metazoa; Chordata; Mammalia; Primates; Tarsiidae. The record is from Ensembl.